UCGAUUGUCUUGGUGAGUCAUAUCCGAGCAAUUCACUUCUCAACUAGUUGGUCUUGUGAGUCAUAUCAAGCAACCAGUUCGAGAUCUUCUUUGGCGGACUUGUGAGUCAUAUCAAGCGCCAUUGAAGUCGGGAAUAUCAAGGGAACAUCCGCAACCCUUGUGCGACCCAACGUUCCAUCAGUUCUCCUUUCCGGAGUUCAUAUCCAAACGAAUCCAGUCGAGGGAAAUCUGAUCUUAG
This 238-nucleotide long non-coding RNA is filed under the name Brassica rapa (field mustard). Its description in RNAcentral is "long non-coding RNA (BRAP_LNC008326)". The record is from RNAcentral. Lineage: Eukaryota; Viridiplantae; Streptophyta; Magnoliopsida; Brassicales; Brassicaceae.